Molecule: non-coding RNA, 93 nt
Organism: Apodospora peruviana
Lineage: Eukaryota; Fungi; Ascomycota; Sordariomycetes; Sordariales; Lasiosphaeriaceae
Source: the annotation of a GenBank genome assembly
GGGUGCAUGGUCUAGUGGUAUGAUUUUCGCUUUGCAUUUUCUAGUCAGAUGCGCUAUUGUGAAAGGUCCUGGGUUCAAUCCCCAGUGCAUCCA